Molecule: long non-coding RNA, 3273 nt
Organism: Cyanistes caeruleus (blue tit)
Lineage: Eukaryota; Metazoa; Chordata; Aves; Passeriformes; Paridae
Source: RefSeq, a predicted model, not a curated record
GUUCCCGGCGGGGAAGGGGCGCUCCCCCUGGCGGCCGCGGGCGGGGGCGGCCCGUGAGGGACGGCCCGCGAGGAACGACCCGGACCGCGGGGCCGCCUCAGGCCCCGUCUGGGCUCCUUUCACUAACCGGGGCUUGGCUAAACAACCCCAGCUCCCUCAGCUGGUCCUCAUAGGACUCGUGCUCCAGACCCUACACCAGCUCUGCUGCCCUUCUCUGGACUCGUUCCAGACCCCCAAUGUCCUUCCUGAAUUGAGGGGUCCAGAACUGGACAGAGCACUCAAGGAUGCCUUCAUGCGGAAUUGCUUAUGAAUACAGAUAUUAGUACUGAAGACAACUGUCUUGAGGACAGACUGCUUUUCAAGGAGCCACAGAAACACAAAACAAGACUACAAAAGAUAAAAUACAUGGCAACCUCUUUCCAGUUUCUACUGUCUUUAACCUAGUUUUCCUGUUCAGGCUCUCUCCAGGAAAUACAUAUCAACGAUGCAUGAAUGAUAAAGAAGGCAAGGGAGGAGUAAGUAGAGGAAUGGGAAAGCAGCUUGGAAGCCCAAACCACUGAAGGAGACAGACGUAGUUUCAUUGGAAGAGUGAUGAGGAAGAAGUGUGGGUUACUGCACAGUUCAGGGAGUUCCACUUAAGACAGCCUGUCUGAGGCACAUCUCCCUCCUUCAUUUUGAUGUUCUCACAUGGGCGUCUGAACAUCUGCUCUUCAAGACUAUCCCCAUGUAUUACAUAAAGUAAAUAUACGAAAAAUACAGUUUACAGGAUGAUUAGCUAGCAAAUAGUAUAUUCUAAGUACUACAAUGAACUCAGAGAAGACUUGAAUGUACUGCAUCUGCUGAACUUCCUUUUUCUCUUGAGGCUCUAUUUUUGUGCUCAGCAUUGCAGCUGAACUUCACAAACUGUGACGCCACAUGAAACAGGCCCAAAUGUGUGAUUUUUAAGCAGCUGAAGAUGAAGAAUUAACAUUUUUAACAGCUAUUACUAAGUAUCCCUUAUGGCACUACAGAUGAAAUCCCCACACUUACCAAAUGCAAGCUUAGUCCAACUCUUCUCAGUGGUUUUUUGCAUGCAUCUGCAUGGCACAGAGAAGCAUUAAACCAUGAGAUAUUUGAUAGGCAACAGUUCUGCUAGGUGUUCCACUGCAAAUUGUUUGCUCCCCAAGAAGAGAUGUUAGCCCAACAGGCAGCAAUUCUUGCAUUUCAGAAGUAUCACUAGAAAUUUAAGGUUAAUACAGUAGCUAGUCCAUAAAACCUAAAAGCCAUGUGCACAUUUCAGAUUGUAAUUUUCAGCUGAAAAAUAUGACCUGCCUGGAAAUAAAGUAGACAUUUACUCAAAAAUUUCAAGCUUAAAAUUUGCAGAGCAGCUUUAUUUUAACCAGUAUACUCAAAAGAACUGAUGUGGGAACAGGGGACAGAAGGAGAAAGAGAAGAUUUACAAAAUUCCCCUGAAACAGUUUCAUUUCAGUCUAAUCAGCAACUUGUCUACAUUCAACUAGCCUUGAAAGUCUGAAGAAAUUUAGUUGAUUUAAAUUGCAGCAUUUUUUCAGUGUUCAUACUGAAAAACAUUUUUAAAGUAUGAUUAUUAAAAUUGUGCCCUGUUGUUAUAUUACCUCUGCUUUCUGCAUCUUAUGUGCUAGUCUGAAACUUUGUGUCCAACAGCAAUAAAGGCAGAGAAGUGAUUGAGAGAAAAAUUAAUGUAAUUUGUACUGUUACUCUUUUAAAAAUUGGGGUAAUCCCAAACCCAACCUCUCCCCAGCCUAGAGCAAGAAGGUGUUUUUGCCAAAUUAGCUUCAGUGGUUUACCCAAUUUAUUUAGUUUGGUGCUUACUUGAUGGUGAAAGAACAGGGAGCAGGGUUUACUGGCACUACUUUUUGUGAAAAGGGCCAUCUGUCGCAGAGACUAGUUCUGCUUUAUAGCUGUGGUAAAUCCCAUCUUAAUUGUCUACUCUCACCAAAGCAGUAGUUGGGGGAGCAGCAGCUCAAGAGGACAAAGAAAUCAGCCCAGGAGCCUUGGUCUCCUGAGAGGGAAACAAGUAAAAGACAUCAGGUUACACAGAAAUAUUCUCAGAUAUUUUUCUUUUGUGGUAAAUUUUCCUCCAAACAGCAUGAGCAGGCUGCAGCUAGGGAAGUGACAGCAGCAUUAAGAGAAUUUGAAGGAGGGAAGCAAGCUACUUUAGUAUUUUAGAAUGAAAAGGCAUGGUAGGGGGCAGUCUUUGUGUAAAUAAUAAUUUGUAAAUAAUAAUUUUAAAUCAAAACAACCCAAAAACCCCAAAGCUAUGUGGCCUUAGGGAAAAACACAUGUAGAAGCUUCAAAUACACAGAAGUGACAUCUGUUUUAAGAAGUGAAAUUAUAACGAGUAAUUUGUAAGGUUUUGCCCUGUCCCAGCCUCUCCAAAUAAGGGCACCUGGUGCAAUAGCAAUUAGUGCAUUAUGUGGCCAAUUUUACAGCUUCAUAAAGAGUUCUGUGCUUUGACAAAUGCUCAUGUGAAUUAACUUAGAUUCCAGGCGUUGUCUUUCAAAAAUCUGGACAGUAUCCACUAGUUUAAAAUGUAAAACCCAGUUGCAUCCUAAUGACACAUACUGCAGUUGUGUGGAAUGGGUCCUGCUUUCAUCAUCAGAGAAUCUUUUCUCUCAAGCAUGUUCCAAAUUCAGUUUCAAGUUUACAUACCUAGACGAAUGUUCUGAUACUGAUGCAUGCCAUGCAUCCAUAAUUAGAAGCCUAAUUUUUUUCUUCCAGACAAUUUAUUCUAUGCAGCUGUUCAUCAGCAGGUCAUGCAUUUCCCCAUGUGUCACCUUUACUGAAUUGUUGACAUAAGCAAAAGUUUAAGGACUGCAGUUAAAUACAUAGUUAAGAAUAUCCACUGAAACUUCUCAGUCCACAAUUCAAUCUUCUAUUUUAACAAGUGUGCUUAACUUGAGGGAGUUAAGUCCACAACAAAAUAUAUGUUGUUCUUAAAUGAAUUUAGGUAUUUUGAAAAUACGGAGGUAACUUGGGUCAGGGGAGGUGAUCCUGCCCUUCUACUCAGCCCUAGUGAGGCCACACCUGGAGUGCUGUGUCCACUUUUGGGCUCCUCAGGACAAGAGAUACAGAGAUAUGGACCAGGUCCCGUGGAGAACAAACAUGAUUAAGGGAGCAUCUCUCUCACAAGGAAAAGCUGAGGGAGCUGGGCCUGUUCAGCCUCCAGAAGAGAUGCCUGAGAGGGGACCUCAUCAAUGUCUGCCAGUAUCUAAAGCGGGGGUGACAAUGGAGCCAGACUCUUCUUGGUGGUGC